Molecule: ribosomal RNA, 25 nt
Filed under: Globodera tabacum
Lineage: Eukaryota; Metazoa; Nematoda; Chromadorea; Rhabditida; Heteroderidae
Description: partial 28S ribosomal RNA
Source: RNAcentral
UCGACCUGAACUCAGACGUGAACAC